AGUGAACGCUGGCGGUAGGCCUAACACAUGCAAGUCGAACGGCAGCACAGUAAGAGCUUGCUCUUACGGGUGGCGAGUGGCGGACGGGUGAGGAAUACAUCGGAAUCUACUUUUUCGUGGGGGAUAACGUAGGGAAACUUACGCUAAUACCGCAUACGACCUACGGGUGAAAGCAGGGGAUCUUCGGACCUUGCGCGAUUGAAUGAGCCGAUGUCGGAUUAGCUAGUUGGCGGGGUAAAGGCCCACCAAGGCGACGAUCCGUAGCUGGUCUGAGAGGAUGAGCAGGCACAAGGGAAGAGAGAAACAGGAGGGACACCGACGUGAGGCAGAAGGGGGGAAUAGUGGAGAAGGGGCGCAGGCGUGAAGAAGCCAUAUCGCGUGGAUGAAGAAGGGCGUAGUGUUGCACAGCUCUUUUGUGGGGAAAGAAAAGAAGAAGGCGAAUUCCCUGGUGUGCAGCCGGUACGAAAAGAAUAAGCAACGGCUGGAGUAGUG
Molecule: ribosomal RNA, 492 nt
Filed under: uncultured bacterium
Lineage: Bacteria
Description: partial 16S ribosomal RNA
Rfam family: Bacterial small subunit ribosomal RNA
Source: RNAcentral